This 2620-nucleotide long non-coding RNA is filed under the name Podarcis lilfordi (Lilford's wall lizard). The record is from RNAcentral. Lineage: Eukaryota; Metazoa; Chordata; Lepidosauria; Squamata; Lacertidae.
GGAAUUCAACACGAUUUGUCUAGUCCUCGCUCGCCAUGGCAGAAUGGACUUGCGGAACGGGCAAAUCAGACAUUGCUUCAAGGCUUAAAACCUUGCUGCAUGAUGCCAAUCUUCCAGAGAGUUAUUGGGCCGAAUCUCUCGCGUGUUUUGUUUACAGAUACAAUCGCAUAUUAACAUCAGCGAUUGUAUGUAACCACUAUGAGAAGAUGUUUGGCAAGAAGCCAUACAUCAAACACAUGAAGAUUUUUGGUUCUGACAUGUGGGUUCGCUCACCACAAAACUCCAAGUUAGACAAGCGUGGAUUGCAUGGAAUCUUUCUAGGUUAUCAGAAAGGGUCUUACAGAAUAAUGAUGACUGACUCUAAGACAAUUAAGCUCACGAGAAGUGUUGAGUACAAUGCAAAGUGGGGGAGAAUGUGGGAAUUUUCCAAUGUUAUCCUGAUGACGGUGAUGAGACUGAGGAUAGUCAAAAGCAACCACAACAGCCCACACCCACUGAUGAAGGUUCUGAGUCUGAAUCUGAAACUGAAUCGGGUGAUUCAGAGGAUUUCAAGAGUGCGAAAGCCUCUAUGCGACCCUCUGAAAGCUCUGAUCAAGAAUUGGAGGAACCAUUGUUCACAAUAGGUCGUUUUUCUCCUAAGAAGGAAGAGGAGAGUGUUGAAGACUUAAGGCUAAUUCGUAGGUCACAGAGAGCUACAAAAGGCAAACCUCCAAAGAGAUUUGCUGAUGAGUUUGCUAAGAUAGCAGUAACAGCUGUUAAAAGCUCCAAGAAGGUAUUUGAACCUUCAAGUUUCCAAGAAAUCCAGGGUUUGGAUUCAAAGGAAGCUGAGCCAUGGUUAAAUGCCAUGAAGGCUGAGCUUGAUUCCUUAGAAAGGAACAAAACAUGGGAGCUAGUUCCAGUAGUUCCAGGAAUGAAACUGCUUGGAAGCAAAUGGGUCUUCAAAGCGAAGACAGAUCAAAAUGGCAAGAUAGUCAGACACAAAGCCAGAUUGGUAGCCAGAGGUUUUGCACAGGUACCAGGUCAAGACUAUCACGAGACCUAUUCACCCACAGUGAGAUAUGAAAGCAUUAGGCUUAUGCUCAAGCUAGCUGCAGAGGAAAAUCUACACAUUAGUCACCAUGAUAUUAAUACAGCUUUUCUGUACGGAUCUCUAGAUGAAUCACUUUAUAUGCUUCCACCUGAUGGCGUACAGGUAAAACAGGGAUUUGUUUGUGCUCUGAAGAAAUCCCUUUAUGGUCUCAAACAAAGUGCACGGUGUUGGCACACAAAACUCACUGAAGUAUUGUUUUCUCUAGGUUUUCAGCAAGGGAAAGCUGAUCCAUGUGUAUUUGUCAAAGAGGAGGGGCAAAAGAAACUGUACUGUUUGUUUUAUGUUGAUGAUUUAUUAUUCUUUUGGAAAGAUGUCGCAAUGUACAAUAGCGCCCUAGCUCAACUGAAAGAGCACUUUGACAUGAAAGAUCUUGGUGAGGUAAACAACUACCUAUCUCUGGAAAUAGAGAGAGAUCAAGAUGGUAACAUUCUAGUACACCAGUCACGGAAAAUUGCUGAUGUGUUAAGCAAACUAAAUCUGAUGGAUGCUAACCCUGUAGACACACCGAUGACAACAGGUUAUCAGGUAGAUGACACUGAAGAAGCAUUUUCUGACACUACACUGUACAGGAGUGUGCUAGGCAAGCUAAACUUCAUUGCCAGAUGUUCAAGACCAGACAUUGCUGUUAGCUGUAAUUUGCUAAGCAGACAAGUCAACAAUCCUAGUGUCAAGGAUUGAAAGCUCUGAAACGCAUAGCGCGGUAUUUGAAAGGCACUAUGCAUUACAGACUGAGAUUUAACAAUCAGAAGUCUGGUGGUCUUGAGAUAUUUGCAGAUGCAAGUUUUGGAAGUGACGCUACAGACAGGAAAAGUACGUCUGGAGUUUGCUACAUGUACAAUCAGGGUCUGUUUGAUUGGUCAUGCAAGAAGCAAACAACAGUUAGCUUAAGUACUUGUGAAGCUGAACUGAAUGCACUGUCUUAUUCACUUAAGGAUUGUGAAUGGUUAGUUACAAUUGUGCAAAGAUAUGAAAAUUCCUGUCAAAUGUCCAAUCCAGGUUUACCAGGACAACAAAGCAUGUUUGGCUUUGCUGAAGUCUGAAGGUUGUAAGCAAAGCACAAAGCACUUGCAAUUAAAGUUGCAGCAUGCUAGGGAAUGUAUUCAGAAGGGACUCGUAACGGUGUCCUAUAUGCCAGGUAAUGAAAUUCCUGCUGAUGUAUUGUCCAAGAUUGUAUCAAGGGAUCAACACUGUACCUAUGUGCAGAAGUUGGGUUUGUACUGAUAUUGUACGAACACGCUGCCCAGUGAUGUUCACAGAAAGGGGGAGGAUGUUGGUUUCUAUUUCCUUCACUGAGCAGCAACUGCAGUCACAAGACAGGUGUUUACAUUCCACAGUCUGUACUGUUGGGUUUUCUCACGGGAAAGGGAGACUGGAUGUGACGUACACUGGUUUCCUGUUAUUCACUGUCUGUGUGAUUCUCUCCAAGCUGUCGAGGAGAGAGGAUGCAUUUUUCUGCUCCGGCAGGGCAAGAUGUCUUUCUGUAAUAUACCAGCUUUGAACUGUAAAUAAAGCAAUAAAGAGUAUGUACCA